RNAcentral lists this ribosomal RNA (528 nucleotides) under uncultured bacterium. RNAcentral describes it as "bacterial SSU rRNA". It matches the Rfam family "Bacterial small subunit ribosomal RNA", at positions 777 to 1304 of the family's 1533-position model. The record is from RNAcentral.
AAUAGAUACCCCGGUAGUCCACGCCGUAAACGAUGAGUGCUAAGUGUUAGAGGGUUUCCGCCCUUUAGUGCUGAAGUUAACGCAUUAAGCACUCCGCCUGGGGAGUACGGCCGCAAGGCUGAAACUCAAAGGAAUUGACGGGGGCCCGCACAAGCGGUGGAGCAUGUGGUUUAAUUCGAAGCAACGCGAAGAACCUUACCAGGUCUUGACAUCCUCUGACAACCCUAGAGAUAGGGCUUCUCCUUCGGGAGCAGAGUGACAGGUGGUGCAUGGUUGUCGUCAGCUCGUGUCGUGAGAUGUUGGGUUAAGUCCCGCAACGAGCGCAACCCUUGAUCUUAGUUGCCAUCAUUAAGUUGGGCACUCUAAGGUGACUGCCGGUGACAAACCGGAGGAAGGUGGGGAUGACGUCAAAUCAUCAUGCCCCUUAUGACCUGGGCUACACACGUGCUACAAUGGACGGUACAAAGAGCUGCAGGACCGCGAGGUGGAGCUAAUCUCAUAAAACCCGUUCUCAGUUCGGAUUGUAGG